CGCGGGGUAGUGUACGGUGCACAAAGGGCUCAUAAUCCUUUAGGCUGGGUUCGAUCCCCAGCCCCGCAA
This 69-nucleotide transfer RNA is filed under the name Candidatus Levyibacteriota bacterium. RNAcentral describes it as "tRNA-Ile". It matches the Rfam family "tRNA". Rfam says of the family: Transfer RNA (tRNA) molecules are approximately 80 nucleotides in length. Their secondary structure includes four short double-helical elements and three loops (D, anti-codon, and T loops). Further hydrogen bonds mediate the characteristic L-shaped molecular structure. tRNAs have two regions of fundamental functional importance: the anti-codon, which is responsible for specific mRNA codon recognition, and the 3' end, to which the tRNAs corresponding amino acid is attached (by aminoacyl-tRNA synthetases). tRNAs cope with the degeneracy of the genetic code in two manners: having more than one tRNA (with a specific anti-codon) for a particular amino acid; and 'wobble' base-pairing, i.e. permitting non-standard base-pairing at the 3rd anti-codon position. Lineage: Bacteria; Candidatus Levyibacteriota. The record is from RNAcentral.